This 529-nucleotide long non-coding RNA is filed under the name Sus scrofa (pig). RNAcentral describes it as "lncRNA (ENSSSCG00070015475.1)". The record is from RNAcentral. Lineage: Eukaryota; Metazoa; Chordata; Mammalia; Artiodactyla; Suidae.
GAUCUUGAUUGUUUCUGAUGUGAAACAACAUUGAUUAUCAGAAUAUCUGCAGGCAUUACGUAGGCCGAAAAACUGCUCAGUUUCCAAGGAGGUCACAUUCUUCAUUGCUUUCUUCAGAUUUGGACAAGGACAAAAAUGAAAAAGAGAGGAACUCUCAGAGGGCAGAAUAAAGAUUCCUGGAGAAUAAUAAACUGUGAAUUCAGUUAUAGAAAGGAGGACCUUGGCUCAAUCAAGGGCACAUUACCAAGCUUCAAGGUGAAACACUCUGCACUUGUGGUGUAGUGGAAGGAACGUUGGACUUGACAGCGGAUAUCCACCUUGGAGUGUUGGAUCAGCUACAUACCUCUGUGUGUGGUGAAUGUAAGUCUUUUUCUAAAUGUUUCCACAUUUUAGACAUUUAAUGAUUAUAUCCAUCAAAUGGCUAUCUUUACCUCAAAUAAUAUUAACCAAUCGUUUAUUACUUGCAUUGUUAGAAAAAUGAGUUAUAGCUUGUAAAUAAAAUUUUAAAACACCAGAAAAAAAAAAAACA